CCUACGGGCGGCAGCAGUGAGGAAUAUUGGUCAAUGGACGAGAGUCUGAACCAGCCAAGUAGCGUGAAGGAUGACUGCCCUAUGGGUUGUAAACUUCUUUUAUAUGGGAAUAAAAUGUUCCACGUGUGGGAUUUUGUAUGUACCAUAUGAAUAAGGAUCGGCUAACUCCGUGCCAGCAGCCGCGGUAAUACGGAGGAUCCGAGCGUUAUCCGGAUUUAUUGGGUUUAAAGGGAGCGUAGGUGGAUUGUUAAGUCAGUUGUGAAAGUUUGCGGCUCAACCGUAAAAUUGCAGUUGAUACUGGCAGUCUUGAGUACAGUAGAGGUAGGCGGAAUUCGUGGUGUAGCGGUGAAAUGCUUAGAUAUCACGAAGAACUCCGAUUGCGAAGGCAGUUCACUGGACUGCAACUGACGCUGAGGCUCGAAAGUGUGGGUAUCAAACAGGAUUAGAUACCCUUGUAGUC
This 460-nucleotide ribosomal RNA is filed under the name uncultured bacterium. RNAcentral's name for it is "partial 16S ribosomal RNA". It matches the Rfam family "Bacterial small subunit ribosomal RNA", at positions 338 to 795 of the family's 1533-position model. The record is from RNAcentral.